UAGUCCACGCUGUAAACGAUGAGUGUUAGGUGUCUGGGAGAACCUGGGUGCCACAGCAAACGCAAUAAACACUCCGCCUGGGGAGUACGCACGCAAGUAUGAAACUCAAAGGAAUUGACGGGGACCCGCACAAGUAGCGGAGCAUGUGGUUUAAUUCGAUGCAACGCGAAGAACCUUACCAGGGCUUGACAUGAAAGUGACGAGGGAUAGAGAUAUUCCUUUUCUCUUCGGAGACAGUUUUAC
This 243-nucleotide ribosomal RNA is filed under the name uncultured bacterium. RNAcentral describes it as "partial 16S ribosomal RNA". It matches the Rfam family "Bacterial small subunit ribosomal RNA", at positions 791 to 1035 of the family's 1533-position model. The record is from RNAcentral.